RNAcentral lists this unclassified non-coding RNA (1417 nucleotides) under uncultured fungus. RNAcentral describes it as "sequence contains 18S rRNA gene, ITS1, 5.8S rRNA gene, ITS2, 28S rRNA gene". The stretch from base 475 to 1417 matches the Rfam family "Eukaryotic large subunit ribosomal RNA", at positions 1 to 961 of the family's 3401-position model. Lineage: Eukaryota; Fungi. The record is from RNAcentral.
GGAAGGAUCAUUACAGAGUUCAUGCCCUCACGGGUAGAUCUCCCACCCUUGAAUACUAUACCUUUGUUGCUUUGGCGGGCCGCCUCGGCUACCGGCUUCGGCUGGUGAGUGCCCGCCAGAGGACCCCAAACUCUGAAUUACAGUGUCGUCUGAGUACUAUAUAAUAGUUAAAACUUUCAACAACGGAUCUCUUGGUUCUGGCAUCGAUGAAGAACGCAGCGAAAUGCGAUAAGUAAUGUGAAUUGCAGAAUUCAGUGAAUCAUCGAAUCUUUGAACGCACAUUGCGCCCCCUGGUAUUCCGGGGGGCAUGCCUGUUCGAGCGUCAUUAUAACCCUCAAGCCCAGCUUGGUGUUGGGGCCUGUCGUCAGACAGCCCUUAAAAUCAGUGGCGGUGCCUGCAGGCUCUACGCGUAGUAAUUCUUCUCGCGAUGGAGCCCUGUAGGAUGCUUGCCAUCAACCCCCAAUUUUCUAUGGUUGACCUCGGAUCAGGUAGGGAUACCCGCUGAACUUAAGCAUAUCAAUAAGCGGAGGAAAAGAAACCAACAGGGAUUACCUCAGUAACGGCGAGUGAAGCGGUAACAGCUCAAAUUUGAAAUCUGGCUCUUUUAGGGUCCGAGUUGUAAUUUGUAGAAGAUGCUUCGGGUGUGGCUCCAGUCUAAGUUCCUUGGAACAGGACGUCAUAGAGGGUGAGAAUCCCGUAUGUGAUUGGUGGCCUUCGCCCAUGUGAAGCUCUUUCGACGAGUCGAGUUGUUUGGGAAUGCAGCUCAAAAUGGGUGGUAAAUUUCAUCUAAAGCUAAAUAUUGGCCAGAGACCGAUAGCGCACAAGUAGAGUGAUCGAAAGAUGAAAAGCACUUUGGAAAGAGAGUUAAACAGUACGUGAAAUUGUUGAAAGGGAAGCGCUUGCAACCAGACUUGCGCGUGGGUGAUCAUCCGGGGUUCUCCCCGGUGCACUCGCUCACGCUCAGGCCAGCAUCGGUUUUGGUGGUUGGAUAAAGGCCCUAGGAAUGUAGCUUCUCUCGGGGAGUGUUAUAGCCUAGGGUGCAAUGCAUCCUACCGGGACCGAGGACCGCGCUUCGGCUAGGAUGCUGGCGUAAUGGUUGUAAGCGACCCGUCUUGAAACACGGACCAAGGAGUCUAACAUCUAUGCGAGUGUUUGGGUGUCAAACCCAUACGCGUAAUGAAAGUGAACGGAGGUGAGAACCCUUAAGGGUGCAUCAUCGACCGAUCCUGAUGUCUUCGGAUGGAUUUGAGUAAGAGCAUAGCUGUUGGGACCCGAAAGAUGGUGAACUAUGCGUGAAUAGGGUGAAGCCAGAGGAAACUCUGGUGGAGGCUCGCAGCGGUUCUGACGUGCAAAUCGAUCGUCAAAUUUGCGCAUAGGGGCGAAAGACUAAUCGAACCAUCUAGUAGCUGGUUCCUGC